AGAUCAGCCUAUGUCCUAUCAGCUUGUUGGUGAGGUAAUGGCUCACCAAGGCUAUGACGGGUAUCCGGCCUGAGAGGGUGAUCGGACACACUGGAACUGAGACACGGUCCAGACUCCUACGGGAGGCAGCAGUAGGGAAUAUUGCUCAAUGGGCGAAAGCCUGAAGCAGCAACGCCGCGUGGAGGAUGAAGGUCUUCGGAUUGUAAACUCCUUUUCUAAGAGAAGAUUAUGACGGUAUCUUAGGAAUAAGCACCGGCUAACUCCGUGCCAGCAGCCGCGGUAAUACGGAGGGUGCAAGCGUUACUCGGAAUCACUGGGCGUAAAGAGCACGUAGGCGGCCUUGCAAGUCAGAUGUGAAAUCCAACGGCUUAACCGUUGAACUGCAUUUGAAACUGCAAGGCUAGAGUAUGGGAGAGGUAGGUGGAAUUCUCGGUGUAGGGGUAAAAUCAGGGGUAAAAUCCGUAGAGAUCGAGAGGAAUACUCAUUGCGAAGGCGACCUGCUGGAACAUUACU
This 513-nucleotide ribosomal RNA is filed under the name Wolinella succinogenes. RNAcentral's name for it is "bacterial SSU rRNA". It matches the Rfam family "Bacterial small subunit ribosomal RNA", at positions 223 to 741 of the family's 1533-position model. Lineage: Bacteria; Pseudomonadati; Campylobacterota; Epsilonproteobacteria; Campylobacterales; Helicobacteraceae. The record is from RNAcentral.